This 196-nucleotide non-coding RNA is filed under the name Enterobacillus tribolii. RNAcentral's name for it is "GcvB RNA". It matches the Rfam family "GcvB RNA". Rfam says of the family: The gcvB gene encodes a small untranslated RNA involved in expression of the dipeptide and oligopeptide transport systems in Escherichia coli. Included several unknown homologues in alignment (Bateman A pers obs). Lineage: Bacteria; Pseudomonadati; Pseudomonadota; Gammaproteobacteria; Enterobacterales; Hafniaceae. The record is from Rfam by way of RNAcentral.
ACAUCCCGGGCCGGAACGAAAGAGUGUUGACGGAGAGAUUCGGAAAUGCUUUUGGCUUUGUGGUUGUGAUGUUGUGUUUGCAAAUUGUCCGGCAUUCCGGACAGAGUAGCUAAGCUACUGUUUUUUCACUUCCUGUACAUUUACCCUGUCUGUCCAUAGUGAUUUAGUAGCACCGCAGAUUGCGGUGCUUUUUUUU